CCUGCCAGAGGCCCACAUUCCCUUGGCUCUAUAUAUGGGCUUCUCCGCAGGCCCAUGUGCCACAUCCUCGCUCCAAGGGGCCUCAGGCGAAUCAGGAAGGUGCCUGUGGGACCAGGCUGGGACCACAGAUGGGCCAGAGUCUCUGUGGAGCAGGACCCCUGGAAACCCUCCUCCAAUUUCAUGUGGACAAUUUUAGUUUGGUUUCUGGGAUAGUGUCUUGAAAACUUCCUUAAACAGUUGUCUGCAAUGGGCACAGGUGCUGGUUCCUGUCAUUCACAUCUAUGGUUUGUGUUAGAUGUAUGUAGUCACUGUAUCUUCUUGAGUGCUGGCCUCCCGUCUGUCCAGAGGGCCCUUGAGCUCUUGCAGGUGGAGACCAUGUCUUAAAUGUCUUGCCUCUUUCUUGUCUCCCCCCUGAGCAUCGAGAACCAACUAGACCCAUAAAAAAUCUUCCCUGUUGUGGUGGUCCUCUGUCCCUGUGCACUUUCUACCUGUCAUGGCUCGUCACUGACGCCUGCCUCUAGCCUUCGCAGACUGGGACCCUCCCUGAGCAGCCACAGUCCCACAUCAGCCCUACAGUUUCUCCUUUGCUUGUGACAAAUAUGGGGCUGGCACUUUAUAGCAGGGAAAGCAGCAGCAGCAGGAGCUGAUCAAUUCCUAAGCAACGAAGAUCCUGUUUUCAUGCAAACGUCCUCAGCAUUAAAACAAAAACAAAUUCCUCACAGGGCGCGUCCUGGAUGCCAAGUCUCUUCACAAGACACAUUUUUAAAGCAAAGUUUUGCGCCUGCGCGAGUCACAAGCAGGAACUGGAAGGAGAGCUGCCUGCCAAGUGCUGUCUCCAGGUGCUCUCCUUACAACCUCACAGGCACCCAACCGCUAGCCACAGUGGCUUCCCGAUGUGACGGAUGAGGAAACAGGCAGAGAGGACUGGGAGAGUGUGUCCAGGGUCCAUCAGCUGGCAAAUGGCAGCAAGGUGAUCUGGCCAGGUCUGACUGGACUGUUUCUGACACAGACACUGGUGUGACUAUAUUCAUGAGAGACCAGGGGCAGACUGGGACCAUUUCAGAUGACUGUAGGCAAAACCUUUUUAUUUAAAAGAAGGAUGGUGUAUGAUAUCGAGUCUCUCCUGACUACAUACCCAGUCCUGGGUGUGAAUCUGGGUGAACCACGGGAACUAACUCUAUGCUGGUUAGCGUAUGAUGCCCACAGAAAGACUCAGGAGGGACAGUCCCUGACUCCAGGGGCUCUGAACAUGGUGCUGAAUUCCUCGCCUCAGAGGCCAACAGCAAAUAACAAGAGGGUUACGAGGUGAGGCAGGACAUUUAAGGAGAAUGGCAGCAAGCGUCCUCAGCUCCACAGAGGUGGGGCCACGGAGUGCUAAGUGAACUGGGAAGGCUUCCUGGAGGAGGGAGAUGCUCCAAUUCCACAAGAGGGUCUCUUUAACAGACAUCCCUGGCUUGAUGCCAGGGGAUCUGGAGCCCUCCAACACCAGUACCACCAGGUCAUCACCAGGGUCACUGGGCCUGCCCAGUGUUCAUAGGAAAGAGCCCAGAGGGCAUCUAGCCUCCAGUGGGCUCUGGUGGCUUUGUCUUUGAGGAUCUCGGGUAUCCAGAGGCAGCACACGUUGAUGAGUCAGAUGUCACAUGGUUCAUGUCUGGCAAAAGGCCAGGAAUACCAGGACGGUGGCAUGCUUGUGCUGUGGGAUCCCCUGGUGCCACUCACUUCUGCUGAUUCUUCAUCCCAGACUCAAGGUCCGACUGCAGUUCAAACCUCCUUCCCCGGCUCUCUGAAAUGUUCUCUGCAGUCCCUUCCCACCCCAGGGGUGGGACCCUGCCUUCUCCAGGUGUCCAGCAGCGCACUGGGCCUGGAGCUGGAGACACCAGGGUCAGGACACCUGACUGCAGCCUCCUAGAGCAGCCUGACAAGCUCCCCAAAUGCAUCUCUCAUGGCACCAUUAGCACCCAGGCAAAGGCCUGGAACUGUGAAGGGGGGAUUAGUGGGCAAAUAUGGCAGAGGAAGAGGGCCAGCGAAGGGGAUUGGUGGAGGCCAAGAGAGACAAGAAUCUGCUAAGCAGAGUGGAAAGAGUGGGGCUUGGUGUGCAGACAGCCUGGGCUGGAACCCCACCCUGUCAGUGUGUCGGGGACUGCGGGUACUCCCCAGGAUCCAGGCUCUCCUCUUCCCCGCAGACUUGCAGUGGACGACAUUGCCCAGCCUUCCUUCCUAUGAGGCGUGGCCCUAUGCCUACAUCCUGGCCAGUGGAAAGACAGCAGAAGUGUCGUGGGGUAAUUCCAAGCCUGGCCCAUAAAAAUCUCCCACUUGUGGUUCCUGCACUUACCUCACCCGGCAGCUGAAUGGAGAGAAAACCCAGGACUAGAGGUAGACAGAUUGCCAAGACGGAAGGGGCCUGGGUCCCUGACGCACCCCGUGGAAGACUGCAUGCUAAACACACACCCUGAAUCGUGCAAACGAGAUCAACUCCUCGCGUGCGGAGCCAUUUAUAUAUGGGUUGUUACAGCUGUGGCCCCAUGUGACUGAUAGAGUCUCUGACUUGCCAUGCCGUGUUGGACCAGUUCCUUAGCCUCCCUAGGCUCUGGCUUUCUCAUUUGUAAAGUGAGAAUUUUAAAAGCAUUCCUGAGAAUGACUGAGCUCAGACUUAAAAAGCUCCUACAACCAGGCAUGGUGACUUUUGUGAGUCUUAGGUACUUCUGCCUUCGUGGGCCCCUUCCUCCAGACAUACAUAAAUAACAUGCAAUUUUAAUUCAAUUAAUUCAAAAUAAAUAAUUUGAAGUUAGGUUUUAUGACUGCACGGAUACAAAUAGGAACAUAAAAUCAGGCCGGAUCCAAAAUUAUGUCUAUUCCUCUUUAGCAUUUUUACACUACAUUUUAUCAUCGUUAUUACUAUAUUCCUUUUUCUUUCUGAUUUUAAAAGAAAUAAAAAUUAAAAAUUUUCUGGGCCCCUGCAAGAAUGUUGGGCCACAGGCACAGUGCUGUUGUACCUCUUGCAUAUGAUGAAUGGUAACUAUCACAGAUCACAGCGGAACCAAGGACAGGGGACUGAGAGGUGAAGUAGUAACCCAGGCGAGGAAGGCUCCUUUGGCCUGUUGCAUCUCCAGUGGAGAGGUUCAUGGGGAUAGAGUGGCAUGUUCAAAAAGGGUGGGGACAUCUAACCCUCAGUGCCUUAUGUCCAGCAUAAGGCUGGAAAACUUGUCUUACUCCAGCACUCUCAACUUCCCCCGACUUACCAUGAAGUAGGGAGUCUUUUUUUUAUCCCCAUUUUACGAUUGAAAACAAAACAGAGAGAAAAGAAAGAAACGGAUGCUAAGGACAAGUGGCUAAGCUGAGAACUGAAACAAUGUCUUGGGUGCCCAGUCGAAUGCUCACUCCACCACCUGGCCUUCCAUCUAUCAUGAGCUGUGUCGUAAAACUGAUAAAUGGCAGUGCCUAUGGAGGGUGUCAGACACCCCAACACCUCCUUUCAAGAAUACUGAAGAACCUGCUUAUGGCUGAAAUCAAACACAUCGUGCCAGCUUAAACUUGUGCUUUCUCAUUCUCCUCCCAAAUGUAUUCCUUAGAAGGUCUAAUUAUAGUGACUUCUAUUUUCUUGUAAAUAAUCACAUCUGUCAUAACUGAUUUAACUGAUCCAAGGCUCCAAGUUGGCAGUCUUGGCGGCCUGAGCCAAUGUGUCAAUUAUGCCAAGAAGGCUGUGAGCAAAAGUUGCAUGAAAUGGGAGAGAGAGGGGAAAAAAAAAUUAGUCACAGUCAUAUAGAUGGUGGGGACCAAUAUGUGCUUUUUCACAACAGUAAUAUCAAUACAAACUCUUAAACGUGGCCAAGGCAUGUCAAUCCCUUAGCAAUCCAACUUAGUGGAAUAGAUGAAGCCAGCCAGUUCUCAGAGAAUAAAAACAAUCUUUUUAGUGGAGAGCCAAGCCCAGGAAGUCUAAGUAUAUACCCCUGAGAAUUUGCUGCGGAUCCUUAUGCUUGUUUCUCGGGAAGAAGGAUGGGAUGAAGGGCUUCCAGGUUUCAUGCCUCUGGGGCUCUUUGGGGCUACCUUCUGAGUGUAGCUGUCAUGUAGCAGAGAGUACUAGUUAGGUCUGGACUUGAGUUCUAGUCUUCUCUCCCCUCCUAACUUACCAGUACUUUAGCGUGGCUAAGCAAACCAGCCUUCCGAAUUUAUCUCUGCUUCUUCAUAUAUAAGCAGAGAGACAAGAGUGCCUACCUCCCAGAAUCUGUGUGGGAUGGAGUGGUACGACGACUGUAUGCGACAGCCUGUUGGAAAGAACAAGCUCUAGCCGUUGUCACCAUUAACAUAUCAGCAUAUACCAAAUCCCGUUUUCAAUCCAUGGAACUGGCUUCUUCCUCUGCUCAAACCACUCUAGAAAAUCAACUUGCUAUUUGAGCCUGAGAGUCCCCGUGUCUGACGAGAAGCCACAAAGAUUAUUUUUAUUCUCUGCAUAGCAUAGGGAAAGGAAAAGCCCAGCACCUGCAGGAAAUGGACACUUGCUCUGAGUGACCCAAACCUGGCUGCUGGUGUAGCCUGCCUUGGUUCUGGCCAAUCUGCAUGAGCAGAGGGGUUGAGAUGACCGACUCUGAAGCCAGCCUGACUGGGCUUUGAAUCAGGCUCAGCUACUUAUUUACGGUGUAUUCUUGGGCAAGUUAUCUCAUCUAUAAAAUGAGGGCAAUGAUAGUACCUACUUCUUAGGGUGAUGGUAAAGAAAAAAUGCAUUACACAGGGUAGCUUACAACAGGGGCCUGGCCUGAGGGAGGCAAUCAGUAUGUACUGGAACUUACUACUACCGCAGUGCUGGUCAUCCUAAAGGCCAAUGGCUUCCUCCCCUCAUCCAGAGUUCAUUAAUGCCGUGCUUAACACUUUAGCCCCUUUAGAAUUUUAUGCACCAUGCUCCUUACUAGGCUGGAAAAUGUGUGGCCAAUAGAGGAGUUCUGAAAUGAGAGGGCAGUGCUAAGAGCCUGUGAUUGAUACCUGAAUCUUCCAGAGAGGCUCAGAUUCACUUCCUUCAAAGGCAUUUCAUUUCUAGAGCAGAUAUGGGAGAGAAAGGGUUCUGGACCAAGAAUCAGGGACCCAGUCUUUGCCGAGUGCUUUUCUGGGUCUUAAUUUUCUCAGUUGUGAAAUAAAAAUGAGAGUUCUGGCUAUGAAUCUCAGCUUAUUUAUGUAUUAAAAAGAGAUAAUAAGAACAACAACUGUCACGGAUUGGGAUGAGGCAUGAACCAAUUAAUGAAUCACUGUGGUGUGGACCAGGUCCUGGCCACAGCCCGUGUGCCCACCAGCUUCAAUGUCCCCCAGAACUCACGGCCCAUUCUGUGGCCUCCACUGGUUUCCUUUGCACCUCUCAGGCACAUUCUUACCACAGGGACUUUGUCUCUCUGCCUGGAAUAUUCUUUCCCCA
This is a long non-coding RNA of Marmota monax (woodchuck), 5398 nucleotides long. RefSeq lists it as uncharacterized. The transcript is spliced from 3 exons. Lineage: Eukaryota; Metazoa; Chordata; Mammalia; Rodentia; Sciuridae. The record is from RefSeq and is a predicted model, not a curated record.